Long non-coding RNA from Haliotis rufescens (red abalone), 459 nucleotides. RefSeq lists it as uncharacterized. Lineage: Eukaryota; Metazoa; Mollusca; Gastropoda; Lepetellida; Haliotidae. The record is from RefSeq and is a predicted model, not a curated record. The transcript is spliced from 4 exons.
GCACGACAGCCGCAGGGUGUGUGAAACUAUGUUAAUGACGCAAAUCCAGCACGUGAAGAACAAGCAACACCAUCUGUCUCUGUAUAAAGUCUGCACACGCACAGAAAUCGUGUAACAGCGCUUGGUUUGGAAAAUAUUGGCGAAAGCAGGAAAUAUGAAGACCGUCGCUAUACUUAUGCUUGCACUGUUCACUUUGGUGGCAGGAGGACAGCAGUGCCCGUAUGGAAAACCAGUCGUGAAGUGUUUUGUCAACCCAUGCCAGUUUACCCGUUGCCCAAUAUUUCCUGCCGCACGCUGCGUACCCAAUUACUGCGGAGGCUGCAAUGCUGAUUGGUACGUGAACAAACGUCGAGUGACCUGUUGGUGAAAAUAUAGCAGAUGAACUGGAUAUGGACAUCCUCAUCACUAGAGUACAAGGCAUGGUAUUCAUCAACGAUGCUCAUUAAACAUUAAACUGUG